RNAcentral lists this ribosomal RNA (468 nucleotides) under uncultured bacterium. Its description in RNAcentral is "partial 16S ribosomal RNA". It matches the Rfam family "Bacterial small subunit ribosomal RNA", at positions 28 to 507 of the family's 1533-position model. The record is from RNAcentral.
GACGAACGCUGGCGGCGUGCUUAACACAUGCGAGUCGAACGGAAAGGCCCUGCUUUUGUGGGGUGCUCGAGUGGCGAACGGGUGAGUAACGCGUGAGUAACCUGCCCUUGACUUUGGGAUAACUUCAGGAAACUGGGGCUAAUACCGGAUAGGAGCUCCUGCUGCAUGGUGGGGGUUGGAAAGUUUCGGCGGUUGGGGAUGGACUCGCGGCUUAUCAGCUUGUUGGUGGGGUAGUGGCUUACCAAGGCUUUGACGGGUAGCCGGCCUGAGAGGGUGACCGGCCACAUUGGGACUGAGAUACGGCCCAGACUCCUACGGGAGGCAGCAGUGGGGAAUAUUGUACAAUGGGCGGAAGCCUGAUGCAGCAACGCCGCGUGCGGGAUGACGGCCUUCGGGUUGUAAACCGCUUUCGCCUGUGACGAAGCGUGAGUGACGGUAAUGGGUAAAGAAGCACCGGCUAACUACGUG